UGAAUACGAGAUGCUACGGCGUCGAAGCAGUGUAUGUCAGACUUCCAAGGAAAGCUCGCAAUGUCAUAAAUAAAGAAUGCCUGUACCAUAACCGACACAGGUGGGUAGGUAGAGUAAACUAAGGGGCGCGAGAUAACUCUCUCUAAGGAACUCGGCAAAAUAACUCCGUAACUUCGGGAGAAGGAGUGCCUUCUUUAAGAAGGUUGCAAUAACAAGAUCCAAGCAACUGUUUAUCAAAAACACAGGUCUCCGCUAAGUCGUAAGACGAUGUAUGGGGGCUGACGCCUGCCCAGUGCCAGAAGGUUAAAGAAGUUGGUUAGCUUUUGCGAAGCUGAUGACUGAAGCCCUGGUGAACGGCGGCCGUAACUAUAACGGUCCUAAGGUAGCGAAAUUCCUUGUCGGGUAAGUUCCGACCCGCACGAAAGGCGUAAUGAUUUGGAUACUGUCUCGGAGAGGGACUCGGUGAAAUAGACUUGUCUGUGAAGAUGCGGACUACCUGCACCAGGACAGAAAGACCCUAUGAAGCUUUACUGUAACUUGAAAUUGAAAUUGGACUUUAUUUGCGCAGUAUAGGUGGAAGGCGUUGAAAGUAAUCUUGCGGGAUUAGUGGAGCCAUCAGUGAGAUACCACUCCUAUAAUGUUAGAUUUCUAACUUUGGAUCAUGAUCUGGUCAAAGAACAGUUUCAGGCGGGCAGUUUGACUGGGGCGGUCGCCUCCCAAAUGGUAACGGAGGCGUACAAAGGUUUCCUCUGAACGGGUAGAAAUCGUAUCUAGAGUGUAAAGGCAUAAGGAAGCUUGACUGUGAGACCUACAAGUCGAGCAUGGACGAAAGUCGGUCUUAGUGAUCUGACGGUGCUGAGUGGAAAGGCCGUCACUCAACGGAUAAAAGUUACUCUAAGGAUAACAGGCUGAUCUCCCCCAAGAGUUCACAUCGACGGGGAGGUUUGGCACCUCGAUGUCGGCCCAUCGCAUCCUGGGGCGGUAGUACGUCCCAAGGGUUGGGCUGUUCGCCCAUGAAAGCGGUACGCGAGCUGGGUUCAGAACGUCGUGAGACAGUUCGGUCCAUAUCCGGUGUAGGCGUUAGAAUAUUGAGAGGAGCCUUCUUUAGUACGAGAGGACCGAGAAGGACAUACCUCUGGUGUACCAGUUAUCGUGCCAACGGUAAACGCUGGGUAGCUAUGUAUGGAGAGGAUAACCGCUGAAAGCAUCUAAGUGGGAAGCCCACCUCAAGAUGAG
RNAcentral lists this ribosomal RNA (1236 nucleotides) under metagenome. Its description in RNAcentral is "bacterial LSU rRNA". It matches the Rfam family "Bacterial large subunit ribosomal RNA", at positions 1564 to 2808 of the family's 2925-position model. The record is from RNAcentral.